Molecule: transfer RNA, 74 nt
Filed under: bacterium
Lineage: Bacteria
Also listed under: 6 other names
Description: tRNA-Met
Rfam family: tRNA
About the family: Transfer RNA (tRNA) molecules are approximately 80 nucleotides in length. Their secondary structure includes four short double-helical elements and three loops (D, anti-codon, and T loops).
Source: RNAcentral
CGCGGGGUGGAGCAGUCUGGUAGCUCGUUGGGCUCAUAACCCAAAGGCCGCAGGUUCAAAUCCUGCCCCCGCUA